CCUACGGGUGACAGCAGUGAGGAAUAUUGGUCAAUGGCCGUAAGGCUGAUCCAGCCAAGUCGCGUGAAGGAAGAAGGAUCUAUGGUUUGUAAACUUCUUUUAUAGGGGAAUAAAGGUAUCCACGUGUGGAUGUUUGCAUGUACCCUAUGAAUAAGCCUCGGCUAACUACGUGCCAGCAGCCGGGGUAAUACGGAGGAUGCGAGUGUUAUCCGGAUUUAUUGGGUUUAAAGGGUGCGUAGGUUGUUUUUUAAGUCAGCGGUGAAAGUUUGUGGCUCAACCAUAAAAUUGCCGUUGAAACUGGAAGACUUGAGUGUGUUUGAGGUAGGCGGAAUGCGUGGUGUAGCGGUGAAAUGCAUAGAUAUCACGAAGAACUCCGAUUGCGAAGGCAGCUUACUAAGACAUAACUGACACUGAAGAGCGAAAGCGUGGGGAUCAAACAGGAUUAGAUACCCCUGUAGUC
This 460-nucleotide ribosomal RNA is filed under the name uncultured bacterium. RNAcentral describes it as "partial 16S ribosomal RNA". It matches the Rfam family "Bacterial small subunit ribosomal RNA", at positions 338 to 795 of the family's 1533-position model. The record is from RNAcentral.